Molecule: ribosomal RNA, 398 nt
Filed under: uncultured bacterium
Lineage: Bacteria
Description: bacterial SSU rRNA
Rfam family: Bacterial small subunit ribosomal RNA
Source: RNAcentral
AUAUUGGGCAAUGGGGGAAACCCUGACCCAGCGACGCCGCGUGAGGGAAGACGGUCUUCGGAUUGUAAACCUCUGUCUUUGGGGACGAAAAAGGACGGUACCCAAGGAGGAAGAUCCGGCUCACUACGUGCCAGCAGCCGCGGUAAUACGUAGGGAGCGAGCGUUGUCCGGAAUUACUGGGUGUAAAGGGAGCGUAGGCGGGAUUGCAAGUUGGAUGUGAAAACUGCGGGCUCAACCCGGAGCGUGCAUUCAAAACUGCGAUUCUUGAGUGAAGUAGAGGCAAGCGGAAUUCCUAGUGUAGCGGUGAAAUGCGUAGAUAUUAGGAGGAACACCAGUGGCGAAGGCGGCUUGCUGGGCUUUUACUGACGCUGAGGCUCGAAAGUGUGGGGAGCAAACAG